Molecule: ribosomal RNA, 368 nt
Filed under: uncultured organism
Description: bacterial LSU rRNA
Rfam family: Bacterial large subunit ribosomal RNA
Source: RNAcentral
CUUGACUGUAGCUUGGAACUGGGUUCGGGCUCUUCUUGCGCAGCCUAGGUGGGAGGCGUUGAAGAUUUUCUUCCGGGGAAGUUGGAGCCAACAGUGAGAGACCACUCUGGAGGAGCUAGAAUUCUAAUGGCGUUCCUUGAAGCAGGACGCUUGACAGUUUCAGGUGGGCAGUUUGACUGGGGCGGUCACCUCCUAAAAGGUAACGGAGGUGUGCAAAGGUUCCCUCAGGCUGGACGGAAAUCAGCCGGAGAGUGUAAAGGCAGAAGGGAGCUUGACUGCAAGACCUACAAGUCGAGCAGGGGCGAAAGCCGGCCUUAGUGAUCCGACGGUUCCAUGUGGAAGGGCCGUCGCUCAACGGAUAAAAGUUA